GAGGAGAUCCUGGCAGAGCCACGGGCAUGGCCAGGCCCCAGAGAGGGUGAAAGAGCAAGAGGAAAGCUGAGGGCAAGUGCAUUUAUGACCCUCCCCUGCCAUGCGAGCUGCUGCCAAGGACCUCCUUCUGGAGAAGUGUCCACCCCAAUGUCCACAAACUGAGAUCUGGGCUUGCUUAGCACCUGCCCAGCAGCUGACUGGGGGCCUCCACAGAUACGAGUUGAGGAGCCAGCUCAAAGUGACCUUGUGCUAAAUCUGGCCAACUCCACAGAUCCUGUCAUGACUGGGUCUGCACUUGGCAGUGAGGAGCCAGCGGGAGGAGAGGCACAGGCUGCACCCCCCUGGAGACAGCAGGAGCAUCUCAGAGGAGCAAAGACGCCAGCCGAGCGCUGAGCCAGCUCAGGAAGGUGCGCGGGGGCAAGGCCUCCUCACGAUCCAGCUCAGUGGGUUAGGGGCUGGGAGGCACCGUGCAAUUCCCAAGCCAGGUGAAAACUACACGGGUUUCAAGGAGGAGGCCACUUCCAGCUCUGAAUAACAGAAGCAUCCAGAAGGAAGUAACCAGAGGCUUCUGCCAAUUGAUCUGGAGACUGGGAAAAGGUCCCACAGUUAUUAAUAACCCCCUGUUCUGGGAACUGAUGUCAUGCACCAGACAAAGGGAUUAAAAAGAUGCUGUGGAAGGCAAAGUGGUUUCAGCCGGAGCUCCAUUUUCUCUUCUCCAAUCAGAUAGCAUUUUUCUCCCCCGGAACACUCCGGGCUGCCUGGCCUCUUGACAGACCUGGCGAGCGGCAGCUGUGUGGCUGAUCGCCAUACUUUUAUAGCCGCUCAGUCUUCGUGGCGUCCUUUCUGUGGGCGACCCCCAUUUCAGUCUGCUCUGAGAUGGGGUGAAAACAGGGGUUUGUGUGGCUUCUGGGAAACAGAGCUGAGGCUGGCCCCUCAGGGCCUGCGGCCUUAGCAGCACGGCUGCUGGAAUCCUGGAAGACAGAAACUGUGUCAAUUAAACUUUGCAAAGUCAGGGCCCUGAACAUCACCUUGUCACCCGAGUGGCAGUGAUGUUGGCUGCGUGGCUGCCGUUUCGCGUGUCCAGGCCCACUCAGGAAGAGGCCACGAAUGACUAGAUCAGAGACCUGAGAGGGCGUCAGAGAAUCCGUCCUUGGAAACAGGUCAGAAAUGACGGAAGAGUGGUUUUAUGGAGACGCAACCUGAAACGGCUCCGUGAAGAAGACGGACGUGCCGAGUUUCCACACGGACAUGGAGGAGCUGGAGCGCUCCCAUAUUUUGCCUGGAAAUGCAAAACGCCACUCUGGAGCCCGGGUGGCAGCUUCUCAUAGGGUUAAGCUACACGCACCAGGUGGCCCAGCCAUCCCACUGCCAGGUGUUCACUGAGGACAACUGAAAGCCCGGUCACACACAGACUCGUGCUUGUCUUUCACAGACGCUUUAUCCGUAACAGACACGCACCACAAACAACUCGUGUCAUCAAGUGCUGAACAAAUUGUAGCAACCCCUACACUGGAAACCAGUUCGCCACUAAAAAGAGUGAACUCCGAUCCGCCACAGCAGACGCAUCUCAAAAGCGUUCCACACAGGAGAGAAUCUGGGUACAGAAGACUACAUUCCGGAUGAUUCCAUUCACGCAAAAGUACAGAAAUGUGGAACUGUGCUUUCAGAAAGCUGGUUGGCGGUGGCCAGGGCCCGGGGUGGCGGACGGGGACUGACUGCAAAGGGCUGGAGAGAACUUUUUUAGGUGAUGGUUGUUUUACAACUGUGUACAUUUGUCGAAACUCUUUGAAUUUUUAUUUAAAAUUGGUAAAUUUUGGUGUAUGUAAAUUAUACCUGAAUAAAGCUGAUUUUAAAAAUAAGGGUAUAUAAUAAUGAAAAGCAAAAACCCCACAGUCUGCAAAAAAAUUAACGAAGUGCGAGAGGAUUGCCCAGUGUGGAGAGUUAACUCCAGCAGGUCUGCCGGGAGUCAGCUCCAUCUGGGGAGGGGCUGUGCUGGGCGCGGUGUGGACAAGGUGGCCCAGUGGGUCAUUCCUCCAGGCGGUGGUUCUCAAGCACUGGGGGCCUCGGGACAGCCUGGGGACCUUGGCGAAAACACGGUGGCCGAGGCCCCCGCUGCAGUGAACCGGGCCCUGGAUGUUCUCUCUCAGCUCUGGCUGGGCUGGGCGUCACCUGUUUCAUCCAGCUCCCCCUGCAGCCUCCUCCUUGGAGCUCUGCACACUUUCUUUCCGCUGCUGGAACGCUUGAGCACCUGUCUGCUCCCGGGAUCGGGUUAAGUCCACUUGUUAUGUGCCUAAGGGUCACUGUACUUGCCUUUGUGACACGCACAACUUGUGUAGUUGCUUCUUUAGUGUCUGUCUCCUCCACUGGACAGUAAACUCUGUGAGGGCCGAGACCAGGUCGCCAACGCUUGGAACGGUGCCUGACACACUGUUAAUAUACCUCUUCUUUGAUCAGGUCCUGAGGAGACGCCCAGCGGGUUCAGGGAGGUCGAUGUCUAGACUGUGGCCCAGUGGGUGGAGCCAAGUCAGCCCCUCCUUUCAAACCCAGAGCAGCCACCCGGUUAGAUUAGUCUUCUUGAUGACAAGGCAGGUGGGUAACGGGUAAACCAAGCUUGAAACAAAGCCGGGCUUCGGGUUUGUCCUCCAGAGGUGAAGCUUCUCUCCACGUGCUUUGACUUGGGUCCCUGGGAGUCGCCUCCCCCAGCUACGGCCUUCAGAGAAGACCAUGAGUGCUGAGCCUUGAGCGCUGUCCCUGAGCCUGUGGCUCUCUGUGAGGACGAGGGGCGGAAGUGAAAACGACAGUGGACAGCUCUAAACCCGCACUAGUAUGGCUAGAAUGAAACUGACUGCCCUUACCAAGUACGGGUAAGGAUGUGGAGCCGCUGCGACUCUCCUACGUGGCUGGUGGAAAUGCAAACUGCUCUGGAAACAGUUCGGCAGACUCCCAUAAAGUUAAAAUACACUCAUCCUAUAACCCAGAGACCCCAGUCCUAGGUGUUUACCCAGGAGAAGUGAAAACAUAUGCUCAUUCAGAGCUCUGCGCAUGAAUGUUUCCAGCAGCUUUAUCCAUGGUAUGAAACUGGAAACACUCCGGAUGCCCUUCAGCGGAUGCCUGGACAACUGCGCUCCAUCCGCCCAGCAGGACGCUGCCCAGUGAUAGAAAGGACAAACUCUUAGCACAUGCACAACCUUGAACGCAUCGUGUUCUGUAAAAGAAACAAAACUGAGGACAUGCCUCACGAGUCCAUUCACUUGACAUUAUAGUACAGGCGGACUGUGGGGUCGGAAAUGAGGGCAGAGGCUGCUGGGAGCCAGGGGUCAGGGGAGGAGAUCGACGGCAAAAGGGAAUGAGGGAACUUUCGAGGUGAUGGAAAUAUUAUAUAUCUCGAGAGUGGUGCUGGUUGCAUAAGUGUAUGCAUUUGUCAAAACUCAUUCAACUGUCCGCUUAAAUUUUUAAAGAUGAAAUAAAUAAAAUUGUAUUGUAUGUAAAUUACGUCUCAAUAGAGCUGACUUUUAAAAAUGAGGGACAAAGACAGUAAGUGCUUUUGGAACACUGAGCAGGGGAGAAUCAAUUUACAGUUUGGUUCCUUGCUUAAAUGUUGCCUUUCCUUCAUGUUCG
This is a long non-coding RNA of Equus asinus (donkey), 3618 nucleotides long. The record is from Ensembl. Lineage: Eukaryota; Metazoa; Chordata; Mammalia; Perissodactyla; Equidae.